GACGAAGGGGGCUAGCGUUGUUCGGAAUUACUGGGCGUAAAGCGAGUGUAGGUGGUUGUCCAAGUUGGAUGUGAAAGCCUUGAGCUCAACUCAAGAAAUGCAUUCAGGACUGGGCGGCUAGAGGACCGGAGAGGAUAGUGGAAUUCCCAGUGUAGUGGUGAAAUACGUAGAGAUUGGGAAGAACACCAGUGGCGAAGGCGGCUAUCUGGACGGUUUCUGGCACUAAGGCGCGAAAGCUAGGGGAGCAAACGGG
Molecule: ribosomal RNA, 253 nt
Filed under: uncultured bacterium
Lineage: Bacteria
Description: partial 16S ribosomal RNA
Rfam family: Bacterial small subunit ribosomal RNA
Source: RNAcentral